GAAAUAUAUGUAUAUAAAAAUAAGCUUCUAACUUAAUUUUUAAGCGAUGAAAUCUCGUUUAUAUUUCU
This 68-nucleotide transfer RNA is filed under the name Lema sp. EMHAU-15071010. Its description in RNAcentral is "tRNA-Ser". Lineage: Eukaryota; Metazoa; Arthropoda; Insecta; Coleoptera; Chrysomelidae. The record is from RNAcentral.